This 2903-nucleotide ribosomal RNA is filed under the name Escherichia coli. RNAcentral's name for it is "23S ribosomal RNA". It matches the Rfam family "Bacterial large subunit ribosomal RNA". The record is from RNAcentral. Lineage: Bacteria; Pseudomonadati; Pseudomonadota; Gammaproteobacteria; Enterobacterales; Enterobacteriaceae.
UUAAGCGACUAAGCGUACACGGUGGAUGCCCUGGCAGUCAGAGGCGAUGAAGGACGUGCUAAUCUGCGAUAAGCGUCGGUAAGGUGAUAUGAACCGUUAUAACCGGCGAUUUCCGAAUGGGGAAACCCAGUGUGAUUCGUCACACUAUCAUUAACUGAAUCCAUAGGUUAAUGAGGCGAACCGGGGGAACUGAAACAUCUAAGUACCCCGAGGAAAAGAAAUCAACCGAGAUUCCCCCAGUAGCGGCGAGCGAACGGGGAGCAGCCCAGAGCCUGAAUCAGUGUGUGUGUUAGUGGAAGCGUCUGGAAAGGCGCGCGAUACAGGGUGACAGCCCCGUACACAAAAAUGCACAUGCUGUGAGCUCGAUGAGUAGGGCGGGACACGUGGUAUCCUGUCUGAAUAUGGGGGGACCAUCCUCCAAGGCUAAAUACUCCUGACUGACCGAUAGUGAACCAGUACCGUGAGGGAAAGGCGAAAAGAACCCCGGCGAGGGGAGUGAAAAAGAACCUGAAACCGUGUACGUACAAGCAGUGGGAGCACAGAGCAAUCUGUGUGACUGCGUACCUUUUGUAUAAUGGGUCAGCGACUUAUAUUCUGUAGCAAGGUUAACCGAAUAGGGGAGCCGAAGGGAAACCGAGUCUUAACUGGGCGUUAAGUUGCAGGGUAUAGACCCGAAACCCGGUGAUCUAGCCAUGGGCAGGUUGAAGGUUGGGUAACACUAACUGGAGGACCGAACCGACUAAUGUUGAAAAAUUAGCGGAUGACUUGUGGCUGGGGGUGAAAGGCCAAUCAAACCGGGAGAUAGCUGGUUCUCCCCGAAAGCUAUUUAGGUAGCGCCUCGUGAAUUCAUCUCCGGGGGUAGAGCACUGUUUCGGCAAGGGGGUCAUCCCGACUUACCAACCCGAUGCAAACUGCGAAUACCGGAGAAUGUUAUCACGGGAGACACACGGCGGGUGCUAACGUCCGUCGUGAAGAGGGAAACAACCCAGACCGCCAGCUAAGGUCCCAAAGUCAUGGUUAAGUGGGAAACGAUGUGGGAAGGCCCAGACAGCCAGGAUGUUGGCUUAGAAGCAGCCAUCAUUUAAAGAAAGCGUAAUAGCUCACUGGUCGAGUCGGCCUGCGCGGAAGAUGUAACGGGGCUAAACCAUGCACCGAAGCUGCGGCAGCGACGCUUAUGCGUUGUUGGGUAGGGGAGCGUUCUGUAAGCCUGCGAAGGUGUGCUGUGAGGCAUGCUGGAGGUAUCAGAAGUGCGAAUGCUGACAUAAGUAACGAUAAAGCGGGUGAAAAGCCCGCUCGCCGGAAGACCAAGGGUUCCUGUCCAACGUUAAUCGGGGCAGGGUGAGUCGACCCCUAAGGCGAGGCCGAAAGGCGUAGUCGAUGGGAAACAGGUUAAUAUUCCUGUACUUGGUGUUACUGCGAAGGGGGGACGGAGAAGGCUAUGUUGGCCGGGCGACGGUUGUCCCGGUUUAAGCGUGUAGGCUGGUUUUCCAGGCAAAUCCGGAAAAUCAAGGCUGAGGCGUGAUGACGAGGCACUACGGUGCUGAAGCAACAAAUGCCCUGCUUCCAGGAAAAGCCUCUAAGCAUCAGGUAACAUCAAAUCGUACCCCAAACCGACACAGGUGGUCAGGUAGAGAAUACCAAGGCGCUUGAGAGAACUCGGGUGAAGGAACUAGGCAAAAUGGUGCCGUAACUUCGGGAGAAGGCACGCUGAUAUGUAGGUGAAGUCCCUCGCGGAUGGAGCUGAAAUCAGUCGAAGAUACCAGCUGGCUGCAACUGUUUAUUAAAAACACAGCACUGUGCAAACACGAAAGUGGACGUAUACGGUGUGACGCCUGCCCGGUGCCGGAAGGUUAAUUGAUGGGGUCAGCGCAAGCGAAGCUCUUGAUCGAAGCCCCGGUAAACGGCGGCCGUAACUAUAACGGUCCUAAGGUAGCGAAAUUCCUUGUCGGGUAAGUUCCGACCUGCACGAAUGGCGUAAUGAUGGCCAGGCUGUCUCCACCCGAGACUCAGUGAAAUUGAACUCGCUGUGAAGAUGCAGUGUACCCGCGGCAAGACGGAAAGACCCCGUGAACCUUUACUAUAGCUUGACACUGAACAUUGAGCCUUGAUGUGUAGGAUAGGUGGGAGGCUUUGAAGUGUGGACGCCAGUCUGCAUGGAGCCGACCUUGAAAUACCACCCUUUAAUGUUUGAUGUUCUAACGUUGACCCGUAAUCCGGGUUGCGGACAGUGUCUGGUGGGUAGUUUGACUGGGGCGGUCUCCUCCUAAAGAGUAACGGAGGAGCACGAAGGUUGGCUAAUCCUGGUCGGACAUCAGGAGGUUAGUGCAAUGGCAUAAGCCAGCUUGACUGCGAGCGUGACGGCGCGAGCAGGUGCGAAAGCAGGUCAUAGUGAUCCGGUGGUUCUGAAUGGAAGGGCCAUCGCUCAACGGAUAAAAGGUACUCCGGGGAUAACAGGCUGAUACCGCCCAAGAGUUCAUAUCGACGGCGGUGUUUGGCACCUCGAUGUCGGCUCAUCACAUCCUGGGGCUGAAGUAGGUCCCAAGGGUAUGGCUGUUCGCCAUUUAAAGUGGUACGCGAGCUGGGUUUAGAACGUCGUGAGACAGUUCGGUCCCUAUCUGCCGUGGGCGCUGGAGAACUGAGGGGGGCUGCUCCUAGUACGAGAGGACCGGAGUGGACGCAUCACUGGUGUUCGGGUUGUCAUGCCAAUGGCACUGCCCGGUAGCUAAAUGCGGAAGAGAUAAGUGCUGAAAGCAUCUAAGCACGAAACUUGCCCCGAGAUGAGUUCUCCCUGACUCCUUGAGAGUCCUGAAGGAACGUUGAAGACGACGACGUUGAUAGGCCGGAUGUGUAAGCGCAGCGAUGCGUUGAGCUAACCGGUACUAAUGAACCGUGAGGCUUAACCU